GGGGAAACGAUAUUGGAAGCUUGCUUCCGAUAGGCGUCGACCGGCGCACGGGUGAGUAACGCGUAUCCAACCUGCCCAUCACUUGGGGAUAACCUUGCGAAAGUAAGACUAAUACCCAAUGACGUCUCUAGAAGACAUCUGAAAGAGAUUAAAGAUUUAUCGGUGAUGGAUGGGGAUGCGUCUGAUUAGCUUGUUGGCGGGGUAACGGCCCACCAAGGCAACGACCAGUAGGGGUUCUGAGAGGAAGGUCCCCCACAUUGGAACUGAGACACGGUCCAAACUCCUACGGGAGGCAGCAGUGAGGAAUAUUGGUCAAUGGACGAGAGUCUGAACCAGCCAAGUAGCGUGCAGGAUGACGGCCCUAUGGGUUGUAAACUGCUUUUAUAAGGGAAUAAAGUGAGUCUCGUGAGACUUUUUGCAUGUACCUUAUGAAUAAGGACCGGCUAAUUCCGUGCCAGCAGCCGCGGUAAUACGGAAGGUCCGGGCGUUAUCCGGAUUUAUUGGGUUUAAAGGGAGCGUAGGCCGGAGAUUAAGCGUGUUGUGAAAUGUAGACGCUCAACGUCUGCACUGCAGCGCGAACUGGUUUCCUUGAGUACGCACAAAGUGGGCGGAAUUCGUGGUGUAGCGGUGAUAUGCUUAGAUAUCACGAAGAACUCCGAUUGCGAAGGCAGCUCACUGGGAGCGCAACUGACGCUGAAGCUCGAAAGUG
This 709-nucleotide ribosomal RNA is filed under the name uncultured bacterium. RNAcentral's name for it is "bacterial SSU rRNA". It matches the Rfam family "Bacterial small subunit ribosomal RNA", at positions 66 to 761 of the family's 1533-position model. The record is from RNAcentral.